RNAcentral lists this ribosomal RNA (576 nucleotides) under Triticum aestivum (bread wheat). Its description in RNAcentral is "partial small subunit ribosomal RNA". The record is from RNAcentral. Lineage: Eukaryota; Viridiplantae; Streptophyta; Magnoliopsida; Poales; Poaceae.
AUGCAGCCUCUUGUUCAUUUUGCAGGAAUCUUUCAGUGUCUUCUUCGUCAAGGUAUUCGUUGUCAUCUUGUUCAUUUCAUGGUGCCAAACAGGUCUGCAUGCCACGGGUUAUGCUCUUCUGCACCUUCUUCAUUUCGUGUAGCUUCGUUUUCCAGUUCUUCAAAUGUCUGCACAAGAAUACUAAAGUGCUCGAUCUGCUUAGCAGACUAUCAAGCAGAUGAGCGGCUUCAGAGAAUACCCCCUUGUGGUCACACCUUCCAUAUCGAUUGCAUUGACCACUGGUUUUCUAAGAACACUACUUGCCCUCUUUGCCGAGUAUCGCUCCUGACUGCCCCCAGAGCUGCCAGCGUCGCUCCAACCGAUCUGGAAACACAAGCCAUCGAAGAGGACUGCUCUUCAAAUGCGCAGCAUCAUGUGGGCCUUAGAGAUGAGCACACGCGACCGGAGGAUCAGGCAGUGGACGGCAGGAUCAGUGACGGCCCAUCACAGCAGACUAACGUGGAAGCAUCAGUUGUUGUAGUCAUCGCGACUCAAACAGCAGGGUCUCCAAGUUCUUGCCACUUGUCUGACGUGUAA